RNAcentral lists this long non-coding RNA (313 nucleotides) under Gossypium barbadense (sea-island cotton). Its description in RNAcentral is "long non-coding RNA (GBAR_LNC006222)". Lineage: Eukaryota; Viridiplantae; Streptophyta; Magnoliopsida; Malvales; Malvaceae. The record is from RNAcentral.
GCAAUUUUAAAACUUAUAUUUGACUGAUAAGAACGUAGGGCCUUGAUACAAAAUAUGGUAGUUUGAAUAACACUGUUUACGAUAUUUAAAGAAAACGUUGGAAAAGAAAAGACAAAAGAAGCUACAAAAAAACUCGAAGUGGAUCUUUUAUCUGUUCUUUGAUGUCCCGAAUCCAACAGAACUUUCAUAGCAAACUCUCCCGUCUUUUCCGGGUACAUAAUCUUUGCUCAAAUGAAUUUAGCUAGAACCGAGCAGCUCAACUUUGUUCUGCAGAACCAGUCUGGUACGAGUAUAAUAAGCAAAGCUAUAUAUU